Molecule: ribosomal RNA, 447 nt
Filed under: uncultured bacterium
Lineage: Bacteria
Description: bacterial SSU rRNA
Rfam family: Bacterial small subunit ribosomal RNA
Source: RNAcentral
UCCAGACUCCUACGGGAGGCAGCAGUGGGGGAUAUUGCACAAUGGGGGAAACCCUGAUGCAGCGACGCCGCGUGAGUGAAGAAGUAUUUCGGUAUGUAAAGCUCUCUCAGCAGGGAAGAAAAAAGACGGUACCUGACUAAGAAGCCCCGGCUAACUACGUGCCAGCAGCCGCGGUAAUACGUAGGGGGCAAGCGUUAUCCGGAUUUACUGGGUGUAAAGGGAGCGUAGACGGCAAUACAAGUCGGAAGUGAAAUACCCGGGCUCAACCUGGGAACUGCUUUGGAAACUGUAUGGCUGGAGUGCUGGAGAGGUAAGCGGAAUUCCUAGUGUAGCGGUGAAAUGCGUAGAUAUUAGGAGGAACACCAGUGGCGAAGGCGGCUUACUGGACAGUAACUGACGUUGAGGCUCGAAAGCGUGGGGAGCAAACAGGAUUAGAUACCCCCGUAA